GUAGUCCACGCCGUAAACGAUGAGAACUAGAUGUUGGGGGGGUUGCCUCCCGGUGUCGCAGCUAACGCGUUAAGUUCUCCGCCUGGGGAGUACGCCGGCAACGGUAAAACUCAAAGGAAUUGACGGGGACCCGCACAAGCGGUGGAGCAUGUGGUUUAAUUCGAUGCAACGCGAAGAACCUUACCUGCCCUUGACAUACUCGGAACUUUCCAGAGAUGGAUUGGUGCCUUCGGGAGCCGAGAUACAGGUGCUGCAUGGCUGUCGUCAGCUCGUGUCGUGAGAUGUUGGGUUAAGUCCCGCAACGAGCGCAACCCUUGUCCCUAGUUGCCAGCACGUAAUGGUGGGAACUCUAGGGAGACUGCCGGUGACAAACCGGA
Molecule: ribosomal RNA, 377 nt
Filed under: uncultured bacterium
Lineage: Bacteria
Description: bacterial SSU rRNA
Rfam family: Bacterial small subunit ribosomal RNA
Source: RNAcentral